Molecule: long non-coding RNA, 227 nt
Filed under: Phaseolus vulgaris (common bean)
Lineage: Eukaryota; Viridiplantae; Streptophyta; Magnoliopsida; Fabales; Fabaceae
Description: long non-coding RNA (PVUL_LNC000411)
Source: RNAcentral
GCGAUGUGGCGCGUGGCGCGUGGCUGGGGAGGCGAACAACCUGGGCGCGUGGAGGACGGUGCCGGAGGAGUGCGCGGAUUACGUGAAGGAGUACAUGACAGGGAAAGGGUACUUGGUGGAUCUGGAAAUGGUGUCCAAGGAGGCAGAAGAGUUUGCCAAGAGUGUGAAACUCAGUGACGAUGGCAAAGACGCGUGGAUUUUCGACAUUGAUGAGACGUUGCUCUCCA